RNAcentral lists this ribosomal RNA (420 nucleotides) under uncultured bacterium. RNAcentral's name for it is "bacterial SSU rRNA". It matches the Rfam family "Bacterial small subunit ribosomal RNA", at positions 355 to 766 of the family's 1533-position model. The record is from RNAcentral.
UGGGGAAUCUUGGACAAUGGGCGCAAGCCUGAUCCAGCAACGCCGCGUGGAGGACGAAGGCCUUCGGGUCGUAAACUCCUGUCAGUAGGGACGAAAAAGUAGGGUCGAACAGGCCUUGCCAUUGACGGUACCUGCAGAGGAAGCCCCGGCUAACUCCGUGCCAGCAGCCGCGGUAAUACGGAGGGGGCAAGCGUUAUUCGGAAUUACUGGGCGUAAAGGGCGUGUAGGCGGCUUGAUAGGUCAAAAGGUGAAAUCCCUCGGCUCAACCGAGGAACUGCCUUUGAAACCAUCUGGCUCGAGGCUGGGAGGGGGUAGCGGAAUUCCUGGUGUAGCGGUGAAAUGCGUAGAUAUCAGGAGGAACACCAGUGGCGAAGGCGGCUACCUGGACCAGUUCUGACGCUGAGGCGCGAAAGCGUGGGG